This 751-nucleotide ribosomal RNA is filed under the name marine metagenome. Its description in RNAcentral is "bacterial SSU rRNA". It matches the Rfam family "Bacterial small subunit ribosomal RNA", at positions 8 to 810 of the family's 1533-position model. The record is from RNAcentral.
AGAGUUUGAUCCUGGCUCAGAACGAACGCUGGCGGCAGGCCUAACACAUGCAAGUCGAGCGCGCCUUCGGGCGAGCGGCGGACGGGUUAGUAACGCGUGGGAACGUGCCCAGAUCUACGGAAUAGCCACUGGAAACGGUGAGUAAUACCGUAUACGCCCUUCGGGGGAAAGAUUUAUCGGAUUUGGAUCGGCCCGCGUUAGAUUAGGUAGUUGGUGGGGUAACGGCCUACCAAGCCUACGAUCUAUAGCUGGUUUUAGAGGAUGAUCAGCAACACUGGGACUGAGACACGGCCCAGACUCCUACGGGAGGCAGCAGUGGGGAAUCUUGGACAAUGGGGGCAACCCUGAUCCAGCCAUGCCGCGUGAGUGAAGAAGGCCCUAGGGUCGUAAAACUCUUUCGCCUGUGAUGAUAAUGACAGUAGCAGGUAAAGAAACCCCGGCUAACUCCGUGCCAGCAGCCGCGGUAAUACGGAGGGGGUUAGCGUUGUUCGGAAUUACUGGGCGUAAAGCGCACGUAGGCGGAUUAGAAAGUUAGAGGUGAAAUCCCGGGGCUCAACCCCGGAACUGCCUUUAAAACUACUAGUCUAGAGUUCGAGAGAGGUGAGUGGAAUUCCGAGUGUAGAGGUGAAAUUCGUAGAUAUUCGGAGGAACACCAGUGGCGAAGCGGCUCACUGGCUCGAUACUGACGCUGAGGUGCGAAAGUGUGGGGAGCAAACAGAUUAGAUACCCUGGUAGUCCACACCGUAACGAU